GUAACAAAGCGACCCAGGAAUGCUUGGGCGUGCCUCCACCCACGCCGGCGUCGGCGGGCGUAUUUCGCCUCACAGUAGGUCGCCGCGACCCGUUGCUUUUGGGGACGUCGAAGGCCCGGACGGAUUGGUACCCUACCGGCUGGGGAUGCGGCUUCGGCUUCUCCUCUUGUCCGGUGGGCGAAACCGCCGGUGUCCUGGCUGCCCUGCGACGGUCGUAGAGACGAGCCCUCCCCUUCGGGGGGGCGGCUCUCGCGGCGUGCAAAAGGUCGGUGAUCCACCCGACCCGUCUUGAAACACGGACCAAGGAGUCUAACAUGUGUGCGAGUCAGUGGGCGCACUAAACCCAGAGGCGUAAUGAAAGUGACACGGGUUCGGCUGUCGCCUCGUGUGGCAGCCGGACUCAGGGCCGAUCCCUCACCGGUUGUCCUCGCCUCUCUCCCGCGUCUCGGUAAGCCGGGUGAGCUAUUUUCCCCGGCCGCUGCUGCGGGGCUCGGGGGAAGGCGGGGUGCGAUGGUGUCUGUAAAAAAGAGCCUGCUGUUGCAGGGGGGCGCAGGCCCGGGACUUGCCAGGACGCCGCGAGACUGUCACUUUGCUGUGAGGCUCUCGGGCCGAUCAGCGGGUCAUGCGUGCAGUCGGCAAGUACCAUGAGCAGACAUGUUGGGACCCGAAAGAUGGUGAACUAUGCCUGGCCAGGAUGAAGCCAGAGGAAACUCUGGUGGAGGUCCGUAGCGAUUCUGACGUGCAAAUCGAUCGUCGGAGCUGGGUAUAGGGGCGA
This 775-nucleotide ribosomal RNA is filed under the name Creaserinus burrisi. RNAcentral's name for it is "partial 28S ribosomal RNA". The stretch from base 300 to 775 matches the Rfam family "Eukaryotic large subunit ribosomal RNA", at positions 665 to 926 of the family's 3401-position model. Lineage: Eukaryota; Metazoa; Arthropoda; Malacostraca; Decapoda; Cambaridae. The record is from RNAcentral.